GAUCAAUUGUAAGUACAGUGGGGUUUUACGCCCAAACUGCGAGUGUCGUGUUCUCCACAGAGACUAGGCGAACAACAGCUAUGCUCGGCUAAAGCUAGGUAACAUGAUAUCGGGUGAUGAAAGCAGAAAAUUAAACCUAAGCUAACGAAGAUUGAUGACAAAAAAAUACAAACAACAAAGGGAGAUUAAGAUUGCAAUCACCGUCUUUUUGGUGUUUUCAUAUUACUUGCGAAACUAAAAUGCUAACAUAGGGGAUCAAUACUAAAAAAAGGGUAAACAAGAUAUGAUACUGGGACAGAAAUAUAUCACAACACAAACAUAUAUAUUUUCACAUGAACGUAAUUAACACAGGGACUACAGAACACACAUAAGCACACAUAAGCAAACAGGGCACUACACCAUGAUUCAGAUUACACAAGUAAACAAAUUAUACAAGCCACUUACUAGUAUCACAGAUCAACAGAGUAGUAUUGAACAACUAAAAAAAUAGAUAGUAGAAGUAACUAGUACAUGGAGCAAGUACUCUUAGAAUCUGAAUGUUACAGACUACACGUCUCAGACUACAGAAAAUUCAGAGAAGAGAAGGAGAAAGAGAGAUGGCAGCAGGAGUUUAGAGAAAGAAGCAGCAGCAACAGGGGCAUGGAGAAAGGAGCAGCAGCAGUACGGGAUUCAGAGAAGAGCAACAGAGAGGGAGAGAGCAGCAGCAAGGACGAGGGAAGGAGGAGCAGCACCAGGGGCGCAAGACGAGCAUCAGCAGCAGGAGCGUGAGAAGGAGCAGUACCAGGGGCGUGAGAGGGGAAGCAAGUGAGGAACAGCAAGGGGCGCGGGAGAGAAGAAGCAGCAGCAGUUUGAGACGAGGGAAGAAGAAGCAGCACUAGGAGAGGGAGGAGUCAGGGGAAGGAGAAGGCAGCGGCGCUGAUGGAGAGGGCGCAGUGGAGCUAGUGGAUGGAUGGCGCUGAUGGUGGAUGUGGUGGUACGACAAAGUUGAUGGAGAGGGCGCAGUGAAGCAGAUAGUGGAGAUGGAUGGUGGUGCUGGUGAUGUGCGACGGCGAAGUGGAGGGAUGGCGUUGGUGGAGCUGGUGGCGCGCCCCACGCCGGCCUGGCUGUGGCGGCGGCCGAAGGUGGAGAAGGAGGGGAUGAAGGAGAGAGAGAUAUGCCAGGCCCGAGGGGAAUUGGAGAUGGACUAGGGAUUUUGACCCCUCGAUCUGAUCUUCCAUUUGCACAAUGGCCCUCCUGCUCCCUUCUUCCUUCGCAAGAACAUCCCUCUCUUCUCAAGUUGGCCCCCUGGUUACUUUGUUUCUUCUCGCACAAGUCCAUUCUUCCUCCUCUUCUUCGUUCUCUUAGCCACUUAGUCCGUAUCUUGAAGUUUAUAGUGCCUUCCCGCACUUUUCUGCAAAACAAACCACUUAGUAGUAAAUGACCCCUUUAUAUGAUUAUCAUUCACAAAUUCAACAAUUCAUAGCAAGAAAUGAAUGAAUAUAACUCAAUAAACCGCAUAUUUUAGUGCCAAAAGAUGUAUAUGAAAUGUGUUGAUCAAUUUCCCCCACACUUAAAUCUUUGCGCUAGUGAAAAUUAAUGGUUAGGAGUGCUACAAAGCAGUAGGAUACUAGUAAGCAUGACCAUUUUAAACUUUUACGGUGAUAAAAGAGGAUCAACAAGUUUAAAUGAUGACUGCGCCAAAUGGUUCCUAAAGAGAGCAUGAUCCCGAGAACAAAAAGAACUAGAAUUAAAUCUCUUAUUUGCAGAAAUAUGACUUAGUGGUUGAACCACUUAUUGAAUUUGAAAGAAACACACAUAAUAUUUUAUUAGUCUCACCGAAGGAACAUACCACCGAUCCCGAGAACAUGGUAUACACCUGGCUCAACCAAUUUUUAUUAAUUUUUUUGUUUGUCUCCCCAAAGGAACAUACCACCGAUCCCGAGAACAUGGUAUACACCUGGUUUGACAAUUACAUUUCUAUUAUUAUUAAUUACUGCCCAAGCUAACCCGAUUUCACAUGCCACCGAUCCCGGGAACAUGACAUGCUACUGUAGGUAGCCAGACUUAUUUAUUCAUUAUUACUUAUCUUAAAUGAACAACACAUAAGCACAAAAACAGGAAUCAUCACUUCUCCAUGUCUGGUUCACAUGCUACCGAUCCAGGGAACAUAGCAUACUAGUCCAUAGUGGUAAAGUGAUUGCUCUCAAUGGGAACACACUUAGCACAAAUUCAGCAUCUAAACAUGGUGAUCUAGGUGUAUCAUAGUAAAUGCAGAAAAUGAUUAAGUUUACUAGUGCACUAGGGAUUUGAGCACUCAAAACUAAUAGCUUUCACUACUUUCAGCAAAGCAAACAGGGUGUAGAUCACUAGUUUACAAGGCAUUCAACAAUCAGUUCGCAUAUUCUCAUCAAGCACCAUAUGUCAAAGGUGAAAUUCAGUGGGACGACAUUUAAGAAAUGGCACAAGCAACCCAAAUAUCAAUUUAAUUCAGCAAGCAUCAAUGGAUGAUGAUUUCAAAAUGGGUCAUGAAACAGCUCACCGGGCACUAUGAACUAACACCCGCUUGAUCACUCUCUAAGCUACAACUCUCUCCUUUUGCUUCCUCAUGCAUGCUCCAGCUUCGCUCUUCCUCAUGUGUGCCCCUUGCUUCUCCUCAUCCCCACGCCAUGGGUCCACCGGGGUCCCAGGGAAUGUCAUCUCGAACUUGAUCAGCAUGUAGUGGAUCGUGCACAAGCAACAACCUGAAAGAGCACUCAACCAAGGAGGCGAUACAAGUGACAGGGGUAAUGCCCUCUAAAUCAUCAAUAGAAUACCCAAUUACAUAAGCAUAGCUAUAAAGCACAUGUUUAGGAUGGUACAAAUCAGUAAGCUCAAUGCUAGUAUUAGAAUCACACGUUUCAUUAAGCAUGGGUAUAGCAUCAGGAACAUAAGUAUCAUGAACAGAGAUAUGAGCAAUGCCACUAACAGGGUGUGUAUGAUCAUGUCCAAGCAAAUAGUUUUUCAAAUCUACCUUAAGUGAUGGCAUUAUGAAAUGCAAGGUAGUAGCAAACAAAUCAUAUGAAGACAUGUCAUUAAGAGGAUUAGAUAAACCUGACACAUCACGCUCUUGUAUGACAAUAGGCAAAUGAAUCUCAGGUUCUUCAUCUUCAUCUACAACAGCUUCUUUUACUUCUUCAGGAGUAGUAGAUGACGAGUCUUCAACUUGAUCACUUGGGAAUUGCAGAUCUUGAUCAUCUUGUUCCUUGUCUUCUAGUUCAUCUUCUUCAAUCUGAGGUAUCUCUUGCUCAAAGCACUUGCUAUCUUGCUCAGCUGGAUGUGACGGUAUUGGAACCUCACAUGUAUCAAGGGGAAUCCCAGAAUUACUCAGCUCAAGUUGUGAAGAAAUAGUACUACCAGCGUUGAUGUUCUUCUCAAUCUUCUUUACUUCUUCCACUAGCUCAUUCCCACUCUUGAUCUUCUUCAUUUCCUCUAGUAUCACCUUCCUAAUAGGAUCAUCUUCCGCACUCCAAGUGAACUCGAGACUAAGCAAUGUGAGCUUGUCUAUGUCAUCGAACUCAUCUUAUGUGGGCACUUGUGCAUGAGAUUGCUCAACAGGUGCAAGAGUUGUUGGUUGACCAAGUGGAGGACCAUUUAACUCCAUUGGACACAUCUCCCGGUGUUGAGGUAUAUGAAUAGGAACUGAUUAAGACUGUUGUGGAGCAUAGUUGUGGCUCUCCUCUUCAUACCUAAAUCCCUGCAUAUGAUUACUAGAAGCAAACGGUGAGAUCUCAGGGUUGUUGCUCCUAUAUGACAUAUUCGGGUUUUCAGGCCACCCAUGUGAGUAAUUGUUUUGGUAUGAGCUAUGAUCUUGAGCGAAGCUCAUGCCAAAACAAUCUGGAGUGUGAGAGUAACCACGCUGACAUUCAGCGGGCGAAUGGCCCUGAAAUCCACAAAUAUGGCAUGUAGGAGCAACAUAAGGAUUGCCUCCGGAAUAAGGAUAAUAAGAACUAGGCCUAUCCUCGAAAACUACUCCUCGCUGCUGAGCUAAAUCAUCUAAUUGAUGGGAGAUCUUACUUAUCAGUUCUUGAAUACUUUCCAUGCUGUUUGUAGUGUUGCUCGCAUAAGCCUGAUGAUCUGAAUAGUAAGCCAUAACCGAGAAGACAGUUCUAACCUACAAAAAGGAAAAGAAAACAAAAAAAUACUAACUAGAACAGGGGUUAGAGGUUAGAGAUAUAUCACAAAUAUAUAGCACAAACUAGAAAAAGAAGAAAAACCUAGUCUAUAGCCUAACACAGUCACACGACGCUAGUCCCCGGCAACGGUGCCAAAAUGAUCAAUUGUAAGUACAGUGGGGUUUUACGCCCAAACUGCGAGUGUCGUGUUCUCCACAGGGACUAGGCGAACAACAUCUAUGCUCGGGUAAAGCUAGGUAACAUGAUAUCGGGUGAUGAAAGCAGAAAAUUAAACCUAAGCUAACGAAGAUUGAUGACAAAAAAAUACAAACAACAAAGGGAGAUUAAGAUUGCAAUCACCGUCUUUUUGUUGUUUUCAUAUUACUUGCGAAACUAAAAUGCUAACACAGGGGAUCAACACUAAAAAAAGGGUAAACAAGAUAUGAUACUGGGACAGAAAUAUAUCACAACACAAACAUAUAUAUUUUCACAUGAACGUAAUUAACACAGGGACUACAGAACACACAUCAGCACACAUAAGCGAACAGGGCACUACACCAUGAUUCAGAUUACACAAGUAAACAAAUUAUACAAGCCACUUACUAGUAUCACAGAUCAACAGAGUAGUAUUGAACAACUAAAAAAAUAGAUAGUAGAAGUAACUAGUACAUGGAGCAAGUACUCUUAGAAUCUGAAUGUUACAGACUACACGUCUCAGACUACAGAAAAUUCAGAGAAGAGAAGGAGAAAGAGAGAUGGAAGCAGGAGGUUAGAGAAAGAAGAAGCAGCAACAGGGGCAUGGAGAAAGGAGCAGCAGCAGUACGGGAUUCAGAGAAGAGCAACAGAGAGGGAGAGAGCAGCAGCAAGGACGAGGGAAGGAGGAGCAGCACCAGGGGCGCAAGACGAGCAGCAGCAGCAGGAGCGUGAGAAGGAGCAGUACCAGGGGCGUGAGAGGGGAAGCAAGUGAGGAACAGCAAGGGGCGUGGGAGAGAAGAAGCA
RNAcentral lists this long non-coding RNA (5129 nucleotides) under Triticum aestivum (bread wheat). RNAcentral describes it as "long non-coding RNA (TAES_LNC011810)". Lineage: Eukaryota; Viridiplantae; Streptophyta; Magnoliopsida; Poales; Poaceae. The record is from RNAcentral.